AACGCGAAGAACCUUACCUGGGCUCGAAGCGCAGUAGACCGGGGUGGAAACACCCCUUCCCUUAAAAGCUGCUGCGGAGGUGCUGCAUGGCUGUCGUCAGCUCGUGCCGUGAGGUGUUGGGUUAAGUCCCGCAACGAGCGCAACCCUUACUCUUAGUUGCCACCCGCAAGGGGGAACUCUAAGAGGACUGCUCCGGAUAACGGAGAGGAAGGUGGGGAUGACGUCAAGUCAGCACGGCCUUUAUGUCCAGGGCUACACACGUGUUACAAUGCACAGUACAAACCGUCGCGAACCCGCGAGGGGGAGCUAAUCGGAGAAAACCGUGCUCAGUUCGGAUUGCAGUCUGCAACUCGACUGCAUGAAGCCGGAAUCGCUAGUAAUGGCGUAUCAGAACGACGCCGUGAAUACGUUCCCGGGCCUUGUACACACCGCACGA
Molecule: ribosomal RNA, 436 nt
Filed under: uncultured bacterium
Lineage: Bacteria
Description: bacterial SSU rRNA
Rfam family: Bacterial small subunit ribosomal RNA
Source: RNAcentral